Molecule: ribosomal RNA, 499 nt
Filed under: uncultured bacterium
Lineage: Bacteria
Description: partial 16S ribosomal RNA
Rfam family: Bacterial small subunit ribosomal RNA
Source: RNAcentral
GACGAACGCUGGCGGCGUGCCUAAUACAUGCAAGUCGAGCGAAGUUUUUCUGGUGCUUGCACUAGAAAAACUUAGCGGCGAACGGGUGAGUAACACGUAAAGAACCUGCCUCAUAGACUGGGACAACUAUUGGAAACGAUAGCUAAUACCGGAUAACAGUAUUUCUCGCAUGGGAGAAAUUUAAAAGUUGGUUAUGCUAACACUAUGAGAUGGCUUUGCGGUGCAUUAGCUAGUUGGUGGGGUAAAGGCCCACCAAGGCGACGAUGCAUAGCCGACCUGAGAGGGUGAUCGGCCACACUGGGACUGAGACACGGCCCAGACUCCUACGGGAGGCAGCAGUAGGGAAUCUUCCGCAAUGGGCGAAAGCCUGACGGAGCAACGCCGCGUGAGUGAAGAAGGAUUUCGGUUCGUAAAGCUCUGUUGUUAGGGAAGAAUGGAUAUGUAGUAACUAUACAUGUAAGAGACGGUACCUAACCAGAAAGCCACGGCUAACUACGUG